UGCGAGAGCGGGGCGGGCGCCUGAGGAGGUGGGCGCGCGGGGAAGGAGCGUGGCGCCCCCGGGCCGCACGGGCCGCGCGAGGCGGAAGCUUGGGCGGGAGGCCGGAGGCGGGGCCGCCACGCUGAGUCACGCAGGAUUGACCCGCCCGCCGCUUCCAGGGGCGGAGGUGACAGCGGGCCUGGGACAGGCGGCCGUAGCUGCCCGCCGCGCCAAGGGACCGCCAGGCGGCGGAGAGCAGGUCAAGGGCCGGGCGAGGCCGGGCGAGGAGCCCGGGGUCGCUGUCCGGGGACGGCGGGCGGAAGGGACCCGCGCCCCGAGGAACGCGCCGGGCGGCCAGGCCUGCGCCCCCCUGCCCCGCCGCGGCCGCUGCCCCGGCCGGGAGCCCCCGAGGGGCAGCAGGGCGCCGGGCCCUCGUCGGAGUUCUCCGGUCCAGGUUAUAAAAGAUGGAGGCCGGCUCAGUGGUUCGAGCCAUCUUUGACUUCUGCCCUAGCGUAUCAGAAGAACUGCCACUCUUUGUGGGAGAUGUUAUUGAGGUGUUGGCAGUGGUGGAUGAAUUUUGGCUUCUAGGAAAGAAAGAGGAUGUGACAGGACAGUUCCCCAGCAGUUUUGUGGAAGUUGUUACCAUUCCCAGUCUAAAAGAGGGCGAGAGACUGUUUGUCUGUAUCUGUGAAUUUACAUCCCUAGAAUUGAACAGACUUUCCCUCCAUCGAGGUGACCUAGUGGUUCUCGAUGGCACUCCCACUGCCGGCUGGCUGCAGGGCCGGAGCUGCUGGGGUGCCCGGGGCUUCUUCCCGUCCUCAUGUGUUAGGGAGCUCUGCCUCUCCUCACAGAGUCGGCAGUGGCACUCACAGAGUGCCCUUCUCCAGAUUCCCGAGUAUUCAAUGGGACAAGCCCGGGCACUGAUGGGGCUCUCUGCCCAGCUGGAUGAGGAGCUGGACUUCAGAGAAGGGGAUGUGAUUACCAUUAUUGGAGUUCCUGAACCAGGCUGGUUUGAAGGGGAGUUAGAGGGUCGAAGAGGCAUUUUUCCGGAAGGUUUUGUAGAGCUUUUGGGGCCCCUGAGGACUGUGGAUGAGUCAGUAAGUUCUGGAAAUUGCGAUGACUGCAUUACUAACGGUGAAGUAGAUACCAACACAGGAGAAGAGAGACAGCCAGAAGAGGAAGGCGAGCAGCCAGCCACCUACGGGAUUGCCCUCUACAGAUUCCAAGCCCUGGAGCCAAAUGAGUUGGAUUUCGAAGUAGGCGAUAAAAUCCGAAUCCUGGGGACCCUGGAAGAUGGCUGGCUAGAAGGAUCACUGAAGGGCAGGACAGGCAUCUUUCCUUACCGCUUUGUAAAGUUAUGUCCUCAAGCAAGGGUGGAGGAAACCAUGGAUCUGCCGCAGGAAAGCAGCCUCACCAACAUCCCUGACACAUCUUUGGAUUGUUCGGAGAACUCCUUAGAAGUGGAAGGAACAAGACAUGAAUCUCCUGAGUAUAAAGCAGAGAAGUCCAACUCAGUUAUUUCUGAAACAUCCACUUCCCCAUUGGAGCAUCUGACUUCUGAGUAUGAAGAAGACAAAAACUCUCACUGGAACACGGGCACCUCAGAAGGGCCCCCAAGAAGCACAGGUUCAGGGCACGAACAGCUUCUUGCCAAAUACUCUUCCACAAAGGAUCCUUCAGAGGUGGUCAAUGGUGUUGCGUCCCAAACUCCAGUACCUUUUCAUCCCGAAUUGCAGAAAAACCAGUAUUAUUCUAUAGGAGGAGGAAGCAACCCGUGCCCCGACCAGUACUCUGACCCUCUUCCUCUAGAAGCAAGGACUAGAGACUACUGCAGCCUACCUCCCAGAAGAACAUACUCCCAGCCGAAAACCCUUCAGAAGCCAGUGCCACCUCUUCACAGCACCUUUUCCCGUUUAGCCUCCAGGGCAGUCAGACCCAGCCAGUUGAGCCCUCAACUCCAGGGCAUGGCGCGGUGUGUGAAAAAGCACCUCACACCCAAAGAAAAUGCUUCCAGCUUUUGCUCUGCAUCAGAGAGAUCAGAGAUGAAGCCUGGUCUGCAAGACAAGGCACCUGCUGUGGAAGCAAUGGCACUUUCACAGGGAGACGGCAACACGGACCUGGAUUCUAAGUUGACACAACAACUGAUAGAGUUUGAGAAGAGCUUGUCAGGGCUCGGCACAGAACCAGAUAAAAUUUUGCGCCACUUUUCAAUCAUGGACUUUAACUCCGAAAAGGAUAUUUUCCGAGGUUCCUCGAAGCUAAUCAUCCAGCAGGAGCUGCCCGAGAGGAGAAAGGCUCUAAGGCCACCGCCACCCCGUCCCUGUACUCCAGCAUCCACUGCUCCCCAUUUGCCAGUGGACCAGAACCUGAGACCGGAACCACCCUUGGCAAUGCGACCCUCUCGCCCCGCUCCCCUGCCUCCCUCGGCCCAGCAGAGAACGAAUGCAGUACCCCCCAAGCUCCUAACCUGUAACCGUCCUGGCUGGGAGACCCUAGAAAAGGAGGGCCCUGAGAACGUGGAGAAGACUUUGGACCAGACUUCCCAGUGUCCCUUAGUCUUGGUGAGGAUUCAGGAGAUGGAACAGGACUUGGAUAUGUGCUGCAGGGCUCAAGAAGAGCUGAACUUACUGUUGGAGGAGAAGCAAGAGGAAUCACUAAGGGCAGAGACCCCUGAGAAUCUUGAGUUCUACGAGAGUAACAUUGAGAGUUUGAACAUGGAACUCCAGCAACUUAGAGAAAUGACACUCCUCUCCUCCCAGUCUUCAGCACUAGUGGCCCCUUCUGGAUCUGUGUCCACUGAAAGCCCAGAGCAGAGGAUGCUGGAGAAGAGAGCCAAGGUGAUAGAGGAACUUCUUCAGACGGAGAGAGACUACAUUCGGGAUCUGGAAAUGUGUAUCGAGCGGAUCAUGGUACCCCUGCAGCAGGCUCAGAUACCAAACAUUGAUUUUGAGGGACUUUUUGGAAAUAUGCAGAUGGUGAUUAAGGUCUCAAAGCAAUUAUUGGCUGAUCUGGAAAUCAGCGAUGCCAUAGGACCGGUGUUUCUUGAUCACCGAGAUGAGCUUGAAGGAACAUACAAGGUUUAUUGCCAGAAUCAUGAUGAGGCCAUCUCAUUGCUGGAAAUAUAUGAGAAGGAUGAGAAGAUCCAGAAGCAUCUUCAGGACUCCUUGGCAGAUCUUAAGAGCCUGUACAAUGAAUGGGGAUGCACAAAUUAUAUUAACCUGGGCUCCUUCCUCAUCAAACCAGUGCAGAGAGUAAUGCGCUACCCACUGCUGCUGAUGGAGUUGCUGAAUUCCACCCCCGAAUCCCACCCAGAUAAAGUGCCUUUAACCAAUGCAGUCCUUGCAGUCAAGGAAAUCAACGUUAACAUUAAUGAAUAUAAACGUCGAAAGGACCUGGUCCUCAAGUACCGAAAGGGUGAUGAAGAUAGUCUCAUGGAGAAAAUUUCCAAACUGAACAUCCACUCCAUCAUCAAGAAAUCCAACCGGGUUAGCAGUCACCUGAAGCACCUCACCGGCUUUGCCCCACAGAUUAAAGAUGAAGUAUUUGAAGAAACAGAGAAAAACUUCCGAAUGCAAGAAAGAUUGAUCAAAUCUUUUAUCCGAGACCUGUCUCUCUACCUCCAGCAUAUCCGGGAAUCGGCAUGUGUGAAGGUGGUGGCUGCCGUGAGCAUGUGGGAUGUGUGCAUGGAGAAGGGACACAGAGACUUGGAACAGUUCGAGAAGGUGCAUCGCUACAUCAGUGACCAGCUCUUCACAAAUUUUAAGGAGAGGACAGAGCGGCUGGUCAUCUCUCCCCUGAAUCAGUUACUGAGCAUGUUCACGGGGCCCCACAAGCUGGUGCAGAAACGCUUUGACAAGCUUCUGGACUUCUAUAACUGUACAGAACGGGCAGAGAAGCUGAAGGACAAAAAGACCCUGGAGGAGCUGCAGUCGGCCCGGAACAACUACGAGGCCCUGAACGCCCAGCUGCUGGACGAGCUGCCCAAGUUCCAUCAGUACGCGCAGGGCCUCUUCAGCAACUGUGUGCAUGGCUACGCCGAGGCCCACUGUGACUUCGUGCGCCAGGCGCUGGAGCAGCUGAAGCCGUUGCUCUCGUUACUCAAAGUCACCGGCAGGGAAGGGAACCUGAUUGCCGUCUUCCAUGAGGAGCACAGCAGGGUCCUGCAGCAACUCCAGGUUUUCACCUUCUUCCCAGAGUCUCUUCCUGCCACCAAGAGGUCACUUGAGAGGAAAACUAUGGACCGCCAGUCCACCCGAAAGCCAUUCCUGGGCCUGCCAAGUUACAUGCUUCAGUCGGAAGAACUCCGGACCUCCCUCUUGGCAAGGUAUCCCCCUGAAAAGCUCUUCCAAGCAGAACGGAACUUCAAUGCUGCCCAGGACCUGGACGUCUCACUUCUGGAAGGCGACCUGGUGGGCGUGAUCAAGAAAAAGGACCCCAUGGGCAGCCAGAACCGCUGGCUGAUUGACAAUGGAGAUACGUGCCCAGGAGUGGGAUUGCUGGAUCAUAUGGUAGCUUUAUUUUUAGUUUUUUUAAGGAAACGCCAUACUAUUCUCCACAGUGGUUGCUAGGUGCUUUUUUUUUUUUUAGUAUUUGUUUAUUUAGGCUGCGCCAGGUCUUAGUUGCGGCACGUGGGAUCUUUGUUGCGUCAUGUUUAGUUGUGGCAUGUGGGCUCUUAGUUGUGGCACGUGGACUCCUUAGUUGCGGCACGUGGACUCCUUAGUUGCGGCAUGCGGACUCCUUAGUUGUGGCAUGCAUGUGGGAUCUAGUUCCCCGAUCAGGGAUCGAACCCAGGCCCCCUGCAUUGGGAGCAUGGAGUCUUACCCACUGGACCACCAGGGAAGUCCCUAGGUGAUUUUUUAAGUGUGGUCUUCAGACCAGCAGCAUCACCAUCCGUGUACCCUGGGAGCUCGCUGGAAAUGCAGGCCCCACCCCAGGCCUACUGCAUCAAGUUUACCAGGUGAUGUGUGUGCAUGUUAUAUUUGAGAAGCACCUGUGUAGGCAGUUAUUUUUAGUAGAACUUUCUACUGUUGGAAAAGUAGGAAUUACAAAAACCAAGGAAGGAAAGGGUGUCAGAUGUUUCCUGCACAACAGAAGGAAAUGCUGAAGAAAAUUUCCAAAUCCAGUUUGCCUGCUUGCUUCCUGUCAUGAAUUUGCUCCCUUUCCUGCCUGGAGAUAGCUCUUCAGUUAUGCUUUCUCCCAAGUGUCCUCGGAGAACAGGGAGUGGUGGUGGGAAUCUAUCAUCAUCUGAAACGUGUAGAUUUCUGACCUCCCUCUCAAGAUUGUUGUGAGAACAAAUAAGAUGAUUCUGCAAAUUUUUGUGAACUGUGAGUUCUAGAAAUACAUGGUUUUAGUAAAGAUUGAAUUUUGUGUCACCCUUUUAAUUAGUUGUGAAGCUGGAACUCUGUGUGCAUUUUGUUUCAGGGUCAGGAGUACAAACAGGCUCUAGAAGAACACGGUGUGCUCUGAAUUGUGUUUCAUUUGCAGAACCUUAGGCCUGAGGACCGAGAAACCUUGAGCAUCAUAUACUUAAUUCUAAAUCCUCUCUCUGGUCGCUACACACAACUCAGGAUUUUAAACUCUCCCAUCUAUUAGUACAUCAUAUUGAUGAAGUUUGUACUGUUUCACCUGGGCUGGGUGUGGCGGACAUUCAGUGCCACAGAGCAGGGAUGAUCAUCUCCAAUCUCCAAUUUGCGCUGCUUUGUUUCAUCCAGCCCACUGUGAUUGUUAGUGAAGAUCAGUAGUAGUGUUUUGUGAGUAUCAAUAAGGGAGUUUUCUACAACAGAUUGCAGGCUUUGCAAGCUGCAUAGGAAUAUCUAUUCCUUAGUACCACUCAGAGGUGACCCUGAAGGAGCAGGUAGUGCUUUCCCAGAGGUAAGUUGUGCUGUGGUGGUAGGAGCGAGCAAUGUGUUCAUUCGGGAACGUUUAUUGCUAGCAGGCAGGUGCAUGGGACUCAGCAGCAGACCGUGGGGGUCUGCAGACUCAGCAGGACCAUGUCACAAGGCACUGCCUGUGCACCACCCGCCUGGGUGUCCCCUGGGACUUCAAGAGGAGUCAAGCGCUAAUCCUUCCCCGUGGCAGCCCUUCCCCAGCUCCAGGAUCAGGGAAGCUGAGAGUGAAAGAUUACCGAUCUGUCAUGGCCGCCUCCUGUCGUCAGAAUCACUGUGACUCAUUUGAACAAAGGACCUUCCUGCAGCCUCUCAGGCUACAACGCAGCGAGAAUGACUGAACAGCGCCUAUCUGCACCAACUUGGAUUCCAUGUGGAAUACUGAACAAAAUAGACUUAUACUGCAUAUAUUCUUAUACUAUUUACGUUCGUUUUAUGCAUUAGGAAUUAGACCUGGAGAGUGAAAAUUCUUUGAUGCCAGGCGCCACCAUGCAUGAGUAACAAAAGUAGUGGUCCCGGGCUUCACUGGUGGCGCAGUGGUUGAGAGUCUGCCUGCCAAUGCAGGGGACACGGGUUCGAGCCCUGGUCUGGGAAGAUCCCACAUGCCGCAGAGCAACUGGGUCCGUGAGCCACAACUACUGAGCCUGCGCGUCUGGAGCUUGUGCUCCACAACAAGAGAGGCCGCGACGGUGAGAGGCUCGCUCACCGCGAUGAAGAGUGGCCCCUGCUCGCCGCAACUAGAGAAAGCCCUCGCACAGAAACGAAGACCCAACACAGCCAAAAAUAAAUAAAUAAAUAAAUAAAUAAAAUUUUUUUAAAAGUAGUGGUCCCCUCGCCUCCUCCACAGCCUGUGGGGGAAGUGGGUUAUGAAACAUUACCUCAGGUUGUCACCGCCCUCUGUCACUUCGUAGGACAACCCAGCUUGCAGGCCAUCCACGAAAGAUUUGAGGUGAGCAAGCUCCAAGGCCUUCCAAAUCUCCUCGUCUGAGUAGUUGUUGAAAGGGUCUAGAUUCAUCCUCAGGCUCCCAGAGAACAGGAUGGGAUCCUGCAAGUCAAGGGACGAGGGAGUUACUGGGGCUAAUGUCAGAAAAGGAACCAGUAGGGACUUCCCUGGUGGCACAGUGGUUAAGAAUCCGCCUGCCAAUGCAGGGGACACGGGUUCGAGCCCUGGUCCGGGAAGAUCCCACAUGCUGCGGAGCAACUAAGCCCGUGCGCCACAACUACUGAGCCUGCACUCUAGAGCCCGCGAGCCACAACUACUGAGCUCACGUGCCACAACUACUGCAGCCCACGCACCUAGAGCCUGUGCUCCGCAACAAGAGAAGCCACCGCAAUGAGAACCCCACACACUGCAACGAAGAGUAGCCCCCACUCACCACAAUUAGAGAAA
Molecule: RNA transcript, 7254 nt
Organism: Balaenoptera ricei (Rice's whale)
Lineage: Eukaryota; Metazoa; Chordata; Mammalia; Artiodactyla; Balaenopteridae
Gene: DNMBP
Gene name: dynamin binding protein
Exons: 18
Source: RefSeq, a predicted model, not a curated record